This 433-nucleotide ribosomal RNA is filed under the name uncultured bacterium. RNAcentral describes it as "partial 16S ribosomal RNA". It matches the Rfam family "Bacterial small subunit ribosomal RNA", at positions 29 to 507 of the family's 1533-position model. The record is from RNAcentral.
AACGAACGCUGGCGGCAUGCCUAACACAUGCAAGUCGAACGAGACCUUCGGGUCUAGUGGCGCACGGGUGCGUAACGCGUGGGAACCUGCCCUUAGGUUCGGAAUAACUCCCCGAAAGGGGUGCUAAUACCGGAUAAUGUCUUCGGACCAAAGAUUUAUCGCCUUUGGAUGGGCCCGCGUUGGAUUAGCUAGUUGUUAGGGUAAAAGCCUACCAAGGCGAGGAUCCAUAGCUGGUCUGAGAGGAUGAUCAGCCACACUGGGACUGAGACACGGCCCAGACUCCUACGGGAGGCAGCAGUGGGGAAUAUUGGACAAUGGGCGAAAGCAUGAUCCAGCAAUGCCGCGUGAGUGAUGAAGGCCUUAGGGUUGUAAAGCUCUUUUACCCGGGAUGAUAAUGACAGUACCGGGAGAAUAAGCUCCGGCUAACUCCGUG